Molecule: long non-coding RNA, 5684 nt
Filed under: Durio zibethinus
Lineage: Eukaryota; Viridiplantae; Streptophyta; Magnoliopsida; Malvales; Malvaceae
Description: long non-coding RNA (DZIB_LNC001527)
Source: RNAcentral
CCAAGUUCAUGGCAGCACCAGGUGGAGGAUCAAUUUGCAAGAGCAGCAGCAAGUACUAUACCAUUGGUGGCAUUGAGAUCAAUGAAGAGCAAAUUAAAGCUGGCAAAGAAAGGGCCUCUGGAAUGUACAAGGCUGUUGAAGCUUACCUCUUGGCAAAUCCUGAUCUCUACAACUAGGUUGCUACUGCUUGAUAUGUCAUUCGUGUCAUCUCAGUUUUAAUGGUUUGAUUUUGAUAUUUCUUUCUCUCUUGGCCAAAAUUGCCAUUGGUUGUUUAAUAAGAGUGGUAGUCUCUGGCUGUGAUCAUCUGUAUUUCAUUAUAAUUAAAGAGUUUGAGUUGUAUUAUCUUUGAUAUACGAAAUAAAAUCAAGGUUUGGGUUCAUUUACAAUAUUAAUUGGUAUUUAUUUUGCAUUUUUUUAUUUCAUAAAUCUUUUGAGUUCAAUUAGGAGUGAUGGAAUCCAAAUCCUCCUAUUGCCUAUACAUCAACCUUAAGUCAGAUAGAGAAUUGAAUCCGAAGCUUAAUUCAAGUGGUUCAUAGCUAUCCUUUAAAAUGUGGCAUCGAACAGACAUACGAUUCAAAUUCCAGCAUAUAUAAUUCUUUCUUUAUCUUUGACUACAACCUUCUUUAUAAAAAAAAAAUGAAAAAUUAGAUAAAAAAUUUGACAUUUGUUGUCCAAAAUUUCCACUUAAUAACUGAUAUGGGCAGUGAUACUAAGUCUACAACAAUCUUUGACAGCAUUACUCAAUAGAAAUAGGCAAAGAGUUGGUGAAUUAAAAAAUAACAUAUAAGGAGAAUAUUUAUGUCACUACCAUUGGUUCACCUGUCAACAGUGAGAGGAGAUAUAUGCUAAAGAAACAGGGUCUUUGGUUCACCUGUGGCCAAAAGCUAUGAGUUGAAGGUUAUUAGGUGGAAAUUUUACCACAUAGCUACGAGUUCCUAAUAGUCCAAGCACUUGAAUUCAAGCUCUUCUUCUGUACUUAAAAUACUAGAGUUCUUUCCUUUUAAUCUUCUUCUGAUAUUGACUGCUUCCAAGAUCCAUAAAUUUGUUCUUUAUAGCAAGCUUGUGUUUUGCAUUUCGAAGAAUAUGUAAGGUAGGUACACAAACCAGAAUCAAUCGCAAGUUUUAUUAGGUGAUUUCUGGACUAAAUUGCAAAACCAGGAAAGUUAUUCUUCAUUCUGACUCUAUAAAUACUACAGCUUCAGCUUCUCAUCUCACGCCUCACAUAUCUCAAUCAAUUCUAUUUUCAUUCAUCUGAUCAUUUCCAAAAUCAGUAGUAAUCAUGGGCGUUUUCACUUACGAAUCUGAGGUUGUUAUUGCAAUCUCACCAGCCAAGAUGUUUAAGGCUUGUAUCAUUGAUGGUGACAAGCUCAUUCCCAAGAUUGUUCCUCAGGCUUUUAAGAGCGUUGAGUACAUUGAAGGCAAUGGUGAGCCCGGCAGCAUCAAGAAAGUUACUUUUGGAGAAGGUUAGUUAAUUUAUAUAUGCAACUAAAUACAUUUUUUUGGUACAAAGACAUCAGCCUGGGGAUAGGGUAAAGGAUUGCACUUGCAGUGCUGGGAUUUGAGCUCCUGCUGAGCUAAUCUCCGAUUCAACUAAGUACUUUGAAUAAUAUAUUGAAUUAGAACUUAGAAGUGCUGUUACUAAGAAGUAAUAACUACUCUAUAUUUGCUUUUCCAAAUACAGGAAGUCAAUUCAAUUACGUGAAGCAGAAGGUAGAAGCACUAGACAAAGAAAAUUUUGCGUAUAGUUAUAGUGUGAUCGAAGGCGACGCUUUGAUGAACACACUUGAGAAAAUCGCUUAUCAGACAAAGUUAGAGGCCUCUGCGGCUGGGGGAUCGAUAUGUAAGACUAUUAGUAAGUAUUAUACCAUAGGUGACUUUGAGCUCAAGGAGGAGGAAAUCAAGGCAGGCAAAGAAAAGGCUUUGGGAAUGUUCAGGGCUGUUGAAGCCUACCUCCUAUCAAAUCCUGAUGCCUACUAAAAACCCCAAUAGCAAUAUCCACUUCAAUGAUCAUACAAUGUGGAAUGAAUAUGUGCUUGAUUGAGAGAAUUUCCUUUUUUUUUUUCCUUUUAUUUUUGCAGUUGUUGGUCCAUAUGACCUUCAGAUUGGUAAUAAGAGUUCAUAGUUUGUCUGGGAAGCUUGAACUGUAACAAAUAAAGGAGCAUGGAAAUGGAAUUUGUUUACUAAAAAUUGUUGUGUGAUCAAGCUAUUGAUUGAAAAUGAUGAGUGCAUUAUCUUCAUCUUUCAAGAUUUGCUAAUUAUAUAUUGAACAUAAGAAAGUCAAGUUUCAGAAGAAAUGUAAUGCAAUUUGUAAGACAGAUUUGUUGAGGAAAUCUAAAUCCAUAAUUUUGACAUUGGAUGGAGGAAAGGGUUAUGGUGGAAUUUAGGGUCAUUGAGAUGAUGAUUUCCACUAGCAUUUUCCAAAAGGAUGCUUACAUAGCAGGUUCAGACAAUAUAGAUAAAUUUUUUUUUUUUUUGGUUUUUUUAAUGAAAUAAUAUUUGGGAAUAUUUCAAACCCCAAGAAUCGUGAAAAGGGUAGAUAAAGAAAAAUUCACUCUAACAACGACAAAUGGAGUACUCAAGAUGUUCUAAGUACCCACGGUGAAGUUCAAGGGUGACUUUUGGCGAAAAACAGGGGGCUAAUUGUUGAAGAAAAAUUAGAAGUUGUAUUAAUUUAGUUAGUGUAAAAGAAGCAUUUGAGAAAAGAAAAGUCUCAAAAUUUCACCUUUGGUUUAUCUUACAUGAACAUAACCAUGUUAAAGCUAGGCAUAGAAACAUUGAUCAAGAUUGGCUGAGGAUCCUGACUGGGGGAGAACUGGAAAGGGGGACAGAAUUGCUGUUGCUGCGAGAAAUUAUGUAACUUGUUCUAUUCUAACUCCUUCUAAAGUCGUUUCAUGUUAUUUUGUUGCCUUGCUGCAACAUGUUUUACUCCGGGGAAAAUGAAAAAACAAUUACCAACAAAUAUAUUCUCAUACUAAAUUUUUCUUGCAUCAUUAUCGUUUCAACCAUGUUUGACCUGUGACAUAUAUAGGAUGAGAUUUAUAAAUUGGCAAGAAUCUAAUCGAUUAGAAUGUCAACAGAAAGUAGCUAUAGUUAGUUUCACAUAAUCCAAGCACUUGAAUUCAAGGUUUAUUAGGCCAUUACAAUGUCAACGUGACCGUUUGCUAUCAUUGUUUUCACUUGAAUUUUCAUUUUUAGCUUCCCUCAAUGUUCCCUGAAGUUUUAUCUUGAUGUUAUACAGCUUGAAGGGGAAAAACAUGUUGGAAAACAAGGCAAACCCAACUAUAAACAAGUAAACUGGCUUGCCUCGGAAACGACUCUACUGAUCACGAGCACACAGCAACCCUCUAAGUGACUCCCAUUUCCCUGUUCCUCUUUUCCCCAGCCAUGUUGACUAUUCACUUCAUUACCCUCAAUUAUUCCCCUUGUCUGAUCAGAUUGAUAGUUAAAAAAAGACCCAGUUUGCGGAUGUUGGUUGUGGUUUUGGUGGCGUUAUAAUACGUCUUUCAACUCUUUUCCCUCAGACUCUAAUGAUUGGGAUGGAGCUCAGGGAUAAAGUGAGUAUGUGAAGGAAAGAAUAUCUCUGUUGUUCGGGCUAAUUCGAUGAAAUACAUUCCCAACUACUUUCAAAGAUGUUUUUCUUAUUUCCUGAUCCUCACUUCAAAGAGAAAAACCAUCUUCAUAGGGUAAUCAGUGCUCACUUGUUAGAUGAGUAUGCUUAUGUUCUUCAGGUUGGUGGGAUUAUAUACACAAUUACAUUUGUGGAAGAACUUGGAGAAUGGAUGAAGUCUUGUUUAGAGAAUCAUCCCAUGUUAGAAGCCCUCUCAGGGAAAGAGCAUGAUGCUGAUCCUGUAGUAAAACUCUAGUCCUGCAACUGAGACAAAAAGUUGCUAGGAAUGGGGACAGACUUUUCAAGCAGUAACAGACGAAUUGCGCUGGAUUCAUGAGAGAACAGUUUGUCUGCUCAGGCUUCAUUGAGCCAAAGGAUAAAUUGUCUGGUUUAGUAAUACGUUUAGUGCGGUUACUUUCUUCUUCAUCUAUUCAUGAGGAUCAUUGUCUUCGAAAUACUUGUAACGCUAUUAUUAAGAAGAGUAAAAAAAAAAGCAAAAAGCAAAACAUGGAGGUAUAGCAUAUUUUAGCGUUUUGUAUCUUUAACCAUGCAGUGUUGCUAAACAAUUCAUAAUAUGAAUCUUAAAUCAAGAUUUUCAUGAAGGAUUUUGUGAUUAUAAUCAAAUCACGUUGAGAUUUUGUAAUAACUUUCAGAAAAUCAAGUUUUGUCGGGAUCAAAACUCUUUGUCUUUAAGACCAAGUAUGAACAAGGCAAUAGGCAUAUCACAUACCGUUCUUGAAUGAAAUGCAAGUCAUCCUACAGUCAUCCAAGACAAAACAUAAAAAAUCAAAGUAAACUCUAUUUGAUUUUGAAAAAAUAUGUAGUAUGUUUCAUAUUUAAAUUUGGCAUAUGUUGACAUUGAAUUUUUCUCAGGAAUAGCCUCUUUCAGUAAGAUACUUGCUUUCUAGAUGGUCCAACUCCUCUUAAGAAUUUACAGUCUGUUCAGAUGCCCAAAGGCCCUUGUUCAAAUGUAAUUAUUUCAUGAUUCUACCUUUUUUUUUUCUUCUAGGUGUCUAUAAACCAUUAAAUAUCAUAAAUGGUAAAUCUUCGAUUGUUUAUUUGUUUACUGUUGUGUACGGAAAAGUACUUGUUAAUAUUUAAUAUCCAAUAAAUUAAUAAAAAAUGAAGUUCCUUGACAGCAAAAUUUGAUUAUUUAUUCCCGAUGAUAUUCUUUCCUAGUAUAUAUAUGUAAGAAUUUUCAAUAAAUAUCAAGAAAAAAAAAUGUAGCAGAAGUUGGUACAAAACGUUUAAAAUAAUUAAUUGGAGAUUGACCAUGAAAUUUUCAUGCAGGGUGCUUUCUUUGACUACUGCAAUUUCUUUGUGACUGGAUCUAUCCAAUUAAAAAAUUGAAGAAAUUAAAUAGUUAAGCUUCAAGGUCAGUCUAUAAAUAUCAUCUUAAUUCUCACUUGUUUCCACACCUCAAACACUUAGUUAAAUCAUCUUUUUCCCUCUGUUUAUCUUCAUUAAAUUUGAAUCAUGGGUGUUUUCACUUAUGAAAUGGAGGUUGCUACCUCAAUCCCCCCAGCCAAGAUGUUCAAGGCCUUUGUUCUUGAUGCUGACAACCUUUUCCCCAAGGUUGUGCCACAGGCAAUCAAGAGCUCUGAGCUUCUUGAAGGAGAUGGUGGCCCUGGAAGUAUCAAGAAGAUCACCUUUGGUGAAGGUUAGUUUUCAUUUCUUGCCACUUAAAAUUCCUUUCCAUUUUCUUUUGGGAAAUAUAGCAGUAUGUAACUUAUUUGAUUGGUAACAAAUGUAGGCAGCCAAUUCAAGUAUGUGAAACACAAGGUUGAAGGAAUAGACAAAGAGAAUUUCUCAUACUGUUACAGUAUAAUCGAAGGCGAUGUUUUGAUGAACACAUUUGAGACAAUCAGUUAUGAGACCAAGUUCAUGGCAGCACCAGGUGGAGGAUCAAUUUGCAAGAGCAGCAGCAAGUACUAUACCAUUAGUGACAUUGAGAUCAAUGAAGAGCAAAUUAAGGCUGGCAAAGAAAGGGCCUCGGGAAUGUACAAGGCUGUCGAAGCUUACCUCUUGGCAAAUCCUGAUCUCUACGACUAGGUUGCCACUGCUUGAUAUGACCUUC